UAUAUAAAUUUUCAAUUGUGUGGUUAUUUUUGUGUGAUUGUCAUUUGAAAUUACUCAUAAUCUUUCUUCGAAAGUAGUGGGAUUGAUCCACAAUUGUGUGUUUUGUUAUUCUUGUUCUCUAAUCAAAACAAAACACAAUCGCUUAAGAUUUUUGAAGAAAACGUGUAAGGUUGAUUUUGUGUGAUCACGUUCUGUAUUCUAAACCUUUUCUUCAUGUGUUACAAUAUUGAUCGAUAUUGUGUGUUCUGUUACUUCCUUGCAAGCCACCAAAAUAGUUUGAAUUUUCGAAGUAAAAUUGUUGGUGGAUCUUAUGCGUUUCCUUCACGAAUAGGCAUUUGCGUCUUUCAAGAUUGCUUAUCACGCUCUUCAUCAGUUGGGGCUUCUCUAGCUAGCUCUUCGACAGUUGCAGCUUCUCCAGCAAGCUGUGCAUCACCUCUUGCCACCUGUGUUGCUGCAGCUUUUCAGCCAAGCUUGUUACACAAGUUCUGCAAUCUUAAGAGGUGUAGAGUGUUUGAUUGCGUUUGUGCAAAUUAAUCUGCGUUUUGUCAACGAAACAGAAGAGGUAUGACAAUUCUUCAAUCUCUGUUUUCCAGUGUUUGCUUCAUUGAACAUUUUUUUUUAGAUAUCUGUUUGAGGUUGGUUAGUGGCUGUAUUGACUUUAAUUUCUUCUUGUUGAAACUGUUCAUGAGUUUGUAUUUGGGGAUGAACUUCUUCUUUUUUGACAUUUGGUAUAAUCCCUGCCCACCAAGUGUUUGAUUCUAUUGUUCAAGUGAGAAAUUUAUCACUGUUCUUGGGUUUGUGUUUUGGGAUGAAGUUCUUCUUUUUUGACAUUUUUUAAAAUUCCUGCCCACCAAUUGUUUGAUUCUAUGUUCAAGUGAGAAAUUUAUCACUGUUCGUGGGUUUGUGUUUUGGGAUGAAGUUCUUUUUUGACAUUUUUUAUAAUUUCUGCCCACCAAUUGUUGGAUUCUAUGUUAAAUUUAUUGGAAACAUUGGAUCAUUGGAUGACGAAGCUAAGUAUUUCCCGUCGUGUGAAAAUUGCAAGAACCAGACUUCAUCAUAGUAUUCUUGUAAUAGCUGUCAUAAGAAGUAACAGAAAAUAAACAACGAACUCCAAGGGAUAGAUGAAGGCAUAUUUCAAAUCAAUAAACUAUGUAAUCAGGACAAAAUAAAAUAAAAUUCAGAGACCUCUGUGUGGUGCUUCUCCAGCAAGCCGUUGUUGAAGCAGUGCUAUUUGUUUGCUGGCUUAUUUGCCUCUGAAAGAGUUCCCCAUGUGCUGCAAGACAAAAACAGUGAAUCGGCGUAGAAAAUGAUCUAUAUAUAUACUCUUUGCUGUUUGGAUUUCACCAUGUCUAGGAAACCAGACAAUCUGAUCAGCUGCCAAUGCAAACAAUCUGGAAAACACCAAACUGGUUUUUCCAUUCCCAUGUAACAAAGUGAUACUUGCGAAAGGUUUAAAAUGUAAGAACCUUACGUACUAAAGUCAGGAUUUUGGUACUCUCUCAUGUUCCAAAGUAAGUUAUAAUAUCAUAGUUCAGUUGGGUUCUAAUAACUUUUGUGAAUCUUCCCAGUUCUCCUAUUCCCCCUUUUUGUUUUUUGACAACAAUCCAUAUCAAUGAUAUAUUUUUCGAUUCAAUCAAAGGAAUAAAGACAGUCGAGAAAAAAAUAUACAAUCUUUGAAAACUCACAACACGGAAGUAGAAAUAUUUAGUGUGAAACAUAUCAUUAAGAAAGACUUGAGUGACUAUGCAUAGCCACCAAUGGAAA
Camellia sinensis is the source of this 1764-nucleotide non-coding RNA. NCBI's taxonomy places the organism in Eukaryota, Viridiplantae, Streptophyta, Magnoliopsida, Ericales, Theaceae. The record is from RefSeq and is a predicted model, not a curated record.